AAGAGACAGCAGUAGCCACGGUAAUACAGAGGGUGCGAGCGUUAAUCGGAUUUACUGGGCGUAAAGCGUGCGUAGGCGGCUUCUUAAGUCGGAUGUGAAAUCCCUGAGCUUAACUUAGGAAUUGCAUUCGAUACUGGGAAGCUAGAGUAUGGGAGAGGAUGGUAGAAUUCCAGGUGUAGCGGUGAAAUGCGUAGAGAUCUGGAGGAAUACCGGUGGCGAAGGCGGCCCCCUGGACAAAGACUGACGCUCAGGUGCGAAAGCGUGGGGAGCAAACAGGAUUAGAUACCCCUGUAGUCCCUGUCUCUUAUAC
This 310-nucleotide ribosomal RNA is filed under the name uncultured bacterium. RNAcentral describes it as "partial 16S ribosomal RNA". It matches the Rfam family "Bacterial small subunit ribosomal RNA", at positions 503 to 807 of the family's 1533-position model. The record is from RNAcentral.